This 341-nucleotide long non-coding RNA is filed under the name Panax ginseng (ginseng). RNAcentral's name for it is "long non-coding RNA (PGIN_LNC001275)". The record is from RNAcentral. Lineage: Eukaryota; Viridiplantae; Streptophyta; Magnoliopsida; Apiales; Araliaceae.
GGAUGCAGAGAAAUAGGAAUCCCGAAAGGAAUGAAACGGAGCCAGACAUGUAUGGAAGGGUGGGUUAAAGACCUAUAGGAACGAAACUGGUCCCAGGGACAGAUAGGAGAAUGACCAGUUCGCUAAGCGUGAAAUAAGAGGGGGAGAGGAUUCACUACUUACCCAAAAGAGGGAUAUAAAGUCAAACAACAAGCGUACUCUAUUGACUGUACGACAAGUAUACAAUGGAACAAUAUACAGAAUAAAAAAGAUCCUUACACAUAAAAUCUCAAUAUUGUUGGCUUUGUGAAUCUCCUAUAGAACAGAGGCAUAGACUCACUAGCUCACUCAAGAAUGGGACG